RNAcentral lists this small RNA (27 nucleotides) under Bombyx mori (domestic silkworm). RNAcentral's name for it is "ovarian small RNA-6557". The record is from RNAcentral. Lineage: Eukaryota; Metazoa; Arthropoda; Insecta; Lepidoptera; Bombycidae.
UAUCACGUGGUUGAUGAGCCGUAGUGA